GUGGACGUUGGAGAUUUGAGGAAAGCUGCUCCUAGUACGAGAGGACCGGAGUGGACGAACCUCUGGUGUUCGGGUUGUCACGCCAGUGGCAUUGCCCGGUAGCUAUGUUCGGACAGGAUAACCGCUGAAAGCAUCUAAGCGGGAAGCCCCUUCCAAGAUGAGAUCUCCCUGGGCCCUUGAGGCCCCUGAAGAGCCGUUCAAGACUAGGACGUUGAUAGGUCGGGUGUGUAAGCGCUGCGAGGCGUUGAGCUAACCGAUACUAAUUGCUCGUGCGGCUUGACUAUAUAACACCCAAG
This 296-nucleotide ribosomal RNA is filed under the name Marinobacter sp. AC-23. Its description in RNAcentral is "partial 23S ribosomal RNA". It matches the Rfam family "Bacterial large subunit ribosomal RNA", at positions 2647 to 2925 of the family's 2925-position model. The record is from RNAcentral. Lineage: Bacteria; Pseudomonadati; Pseudomonadota; Gammaproteobacteria; Pseudomonadales; Marinobacteraceae.